This 298-nucleotide ribosomal RNA is filed under the name uncultured bacterium. RNAcentral's name for it is "partial 16S ribosomal RNA". It matches the Rfam family "Bacterial small subunit ribosomal RNA", at positions 93 to 424 of the family's 1533-position model. The record is from RNAcentral.
CGGCCGCGUCGACUGAGUAACGCGUAGGUAACCUGCCUGGUAGCGGGGGAUAACUAUUGGAAACGAUAGCUAAUACCGCAUAAGAGUAGAUGUUGCAUGACAUUUGCUUAAAAGGUGCAAUUGCAUCACUACCAGAUGGACCUGCGUUGUAUUAGCUAGUUGGUGGGGUAACGGCUCACCAAGGCGACGAUACAUAGCCGACCUGAGAGGGUGAUCGGCCACACUGGGACUGAGACACGGCCCAGACUCCUACGGGAGGCAGCGUCGACGCGGCGUGAGGGAAGAAGAUUUUCGGAUU